This 1465-nucleotide ribosomal RNA is filed under the name Candidatus Peribacteraceae bacterium. Its description in RNAcentral is "bacterial SSU rRNA". It matches the Rfam family "Bacterial small subunit ribosomal RNA". Lineage: Bacteria; Candidatus Peregrinibacteriota; Candidatus Peribacteria; Candidatus Peribacterales. The record is from RNAcentral.
UUUUUAAAGAGUUUGAUCCUGGCUCAGAGUGAACGCUAGCGGUGCGCCUAACACAUGCAAGUCGACUGUACUUCGGUACAGGGCGAACGGCUGAGUAACACGUUGGAACCUGCCCCGAACUCAGGGAUAACCCGGCGAAAGUCGGGCUAAUACCGGAUAGUUCCCGCAAGGGUAAAGCUUUUGCGGUUCGGGAGGGUCCUGCGGCCUAUCAGUUUGUUGGUGGGGUAAUAGCCUACCAAGACUAUGACGGGUAGCUGGUCUGAGAGGACGACCAGCCAGAAUGGGACUGAGACACGGCCCAUACUCCUACGGGAGGCAGCAGUGAGGAAUAUUCCGCAAUGGGGGAAACCCUGACGGAGCGACACCGCGUGAAGGAUGACACCCCUUGGGGCGUAAACUUCUGUUCUGAGGGACGAAAUUUUUGACGGUACCUCAGGAGAAAGCACCGGCUAAUUCCGUGCCAGCAGCCGCGGUAAGACGGAAGGUGCAAGCGUUACUCGGAAUCACUGGGCGUAAAGCGUCCGCAGGCGACUUUUUAAGUCCGACAUUAAAAUGCGCAGCUCAACUGCGUAGUGUGCCGGAAACUGAAGAGAUUGAGUCACCCAGAGGCAUCUGGAAUGCCAUGUGAAGGGGUAAAAUCCGUUGAUCCAUGGUAGAACGCCAAAAGUGAAGACAAGAUGCUGGGGGUGUACUGACGCUCAGGGACGAAAGCGUGGGGAGCGAAGGGGAUUAGAUACCCCCGUAGUCCACGCCCUAAACUAUGCGUGCUCGGUGUUGGGAGUUCAAUCUUUCCCAGUGCCCCAGCUAACGCGGUAAGCACGCCGCCUGAGUAGUACGGCCGCAAGGCUAAAACUUAAAGGAAUAGACGGGGACCCACACAAGCGGUGGAGCAUGGGGUUUAAUUCGAUAAUAAGCGGAGCACCUCACCCAGACUUGACAUCCCGAGAACGUUCUAGAAAUAGAGCAGUGCCGCAAGGAACUCGGUGACAGGUGGUGCACGGUCGUCGUCAGCUCGUGCUUUGAAGUGUACUGUUAAGUCAGCAAACGAGCGCAACCCUCAUCCUAUGUUGUUAUUUCAUAGGAGACUGCCGCCUCCAAGGCGGAGGAAGGUGAGGAUGACGUCAGAUCUGCGUGUCCCUUACGUCUGGGGCAACACCCGUGCUACAAUGGCCGGUACAAAGGGCAGCGAACCCGCGAGGGGGAGCCAAUCUCAAAAAACCGGUCUCAGUUCGGAUUGAAGUCUGCAACUCGACUUCAUGAAGUUGGAAUCGCUAGUAAACGUGAAUCAGCUACGUCACGUUGAAUAUGUUCCUGGGUCUUGUACUCACCGCCCGUCAACUCAUGAAAGGCAGGGGCGCCCGAAGCACCUUUAUUCUUCGGAAGAGGUACCACGGUGAAACUGCUGAUUGGGAGUAAGUCGUAACAAGGUAUCCGUAGGAGAACCUGCGGAUGGAACACUUCCUUA